CCUGCGGAAGGAUCAUUACCGAGUGUAGGGUUCCUAGCGAGCCCAACCUCCCACCCGUGUUUACUGUACCUUAGUUGCUUCGGCGGGCCCGCCAUUCAUGGCCGCCGGGGGCUCUCAGCCCCGGGCCCGCGCCCGCCGGAGACACCACGAACUCUGUCUGAUCUAGUGAAGUCUGAGUUGAUUGUAUCGCAAUCAGUUAAAACUUUCAACAAUGGAUCUCUUGGUUCCGGCAUCGAUGAAGAACGCAGCGAAAUGCGAUAACUAGUGUGAAUUGCAGAAUUCCGUGAAUCAUCGAGUCUUUGAACGCACAUUGCGCCCCCUGGUAUUCCGGGGGGCAUGCCUGUCCGAGCGUCAUUGCUGCCCAUCAAGCACGGCUUGUGUGUUGGGUCGUCGUCCCCUCUCCGGGGGGGACGGGCCCCAAAGGCAGCGGCGGCACCGCGUCCGAUCCUCGAGCGUAUGGGGCUUUGUCACCCGCUCUGUAGGCCCGGCCGGCGCUUGCCGAACGCAAAUCAAUCUUUCCAGGUGACCUC
Molecule: ribosomal RNA, 530 nt
Filed under: Aspergillus flavus
Lineage: Eukaryota; Fungi; Ascomycota; Eurotiomycetes; Eurotiales; Aspergillaceae
Description: eukaryotic LSU rRNA
Rfam family: 5.8S ribosomal RNA (bases 201-354)
Source: RNAcentral